RNAcentral lists this ribosomal RNA (710 nucleotides) under Anophryoides haemophila. Its description in RNAcentral is "partial Bacterial large subunit ribosomal RNA". It matches the Rfam family "Bacterial large subunit ribosomal RNA", at positions 1122 to 1823 of the family's 2925-position model. The record is from RNAcentral. Lineage: Eukaryota; Ciliophora; Oligohymenophorea; Philasterida; Glauconematidae.
UUUAAAGAAAGCGUAAUAGCUCACUGAUCGAGUCGUCCUGCGCGGAAGAUGUAACGGGGCUAAGCCAGUUACCGAAGCUGCGGAUGUGCAAUUUAUUGCACGUGGUAGGAGAGCGUUCUGUAGGCCUGUGAAGGUGUCUGGUAACGGAUGCUGGAGGUAUCAGAAGUGCGAAUGCUGACAUGAGUAGCGUUAAAGGGGGUGAAAAGCCCCCUCGCCGUAAGCGCAAGGUUUUCUACGCAACGUUCAUCGGCGUAGAGUGAGUCGGCCCCUAAGGCGAGGCAGAGAUGCGUAGCUGAUGGGAAACAGGUCAAUAUUCCUGUACCGAUCAAUAGUGCGAUGUGGGGACGGAGAAGGUUAGCUCAGCCAACUGUUGGAUAUGUUGGUUCAAGCCUGUAGUCGUGCCUGGUAGGCAAAUCCGCCGGGCUUAGAUGAGGGGUGAUAACGAGUCUGCUUGCAGACGAAGUGAGUGAUACCCUGCUUCCAGGAAAAGCCACUAAGCUUCAGCUAUUGACGACCGUACCGCAAACCGACACUGGUGCGCGAGAUGAGUAUUCUAAGGCGCUUGAGAGAACUCAGGAGAAGGAACUCGGCAAAUUGAUACCGUAACUUCGGGAGAAGGUAUGCCCCAAGUAGGUGAACUCGUACAGAGGGAGCCCAAAGGGGUUGCAAAAAAUCGGUGGCUGCGACUGUUUAUUAAAAACACAGCACUC